UACGUAGGGUGCAAGCGUUAAUCGGAAUUACUGGGCGUAAAGCGAGCGCAGACGGUUACUUAAGCAAGAUGUGAAAUCCCCGAGCUCAACUUGGGAACUGCGUUUUGAACUGGGUAGCUAGAGUGUGUCAGAGGGGGGUAGAAUUCCACGUGUAGCAGUGAAAUGCGUAGAGAUGUGGAGGAAUACCGAUGGCGAAGGCAGCCCCCUGGGAUAACACUGACGUUCAUGCUCGAAAGCGUGGGUAGCAAACAGG
Molecule: ribosomal RNA, 253 nt
Filed under: uncultured bacterium
Lineage: Bacteria
Description: partial 16S ribosomal RNA
Rfam family: Bacterial small subunit ribosomal RNA
Source: RNAcentral